UCCAAUCCUUAUCCUUAAUACAGAUAUAGUUCUCUUCACAUAAGGAGAAUUCAACACCUUAUCCCAUAUGUAAUCUAUUCAAUCAGUUCAGAAGAUAUUGCUGCUCGAUCCCAAAGGAUUAUCUUCUUGAUGUGCAUCUCAUGUGCAUAUGCCAUAACAACUGUGUCUCCUAAGAUGGACCUGGUCCUUCACUGAGUUCAUUUGUCAUUUUUUGAAACUUCAACUGAGCUUGGGCCAACAAGUAGGUUAUUGUUGAAACAUUAUUUUUGUAAUAUUUCUAGGCUAGAGCUAGUCUGGGAAGGGGUUGCUAUAAUUGGAUUGAUUGUAGGAGUUAGGAUACUAGAGUUAGUCCCUUUGGUUAUAGAGUUUUAGCCUAAAACUGCUCUUUGAAGUUAAUGAAGAUUUGAGGAAAAUUCUACAGUGUAGGUAAUGUUUUUACUCCAUUGAGCAAUGAGGUUUUUCGCGUAAAAAUCUCUGUGUUGAUUACUUUUUCGCAAUUCAUUUUGUUUGUGUCUAUUUGAAUAUUACUUUUUGCUUAAAUUAUAUAUUAGCUGUAUAAGAAUAAAGCGGUUUGAAAAUGAAGAGAUUUAGAACAAAAUUAAAUAAAAUGCGAAAGAAAAAGAAAUAAAAUUGAAAGAAUAAAAAAAAUGGGGACACCCCUUGGGUUCUGUCUUCCCAAGUGGAAGACAACAAAAUGAAGGGAUACCAAUCUAAGAACGGAUUGGAAUUGAAGUCGUGGAAACGUUACUGGAUCUAGUGGCCUAGACCUUGCAUUACCAGAUUUUUCUAUUUCGUCCGAGAUAACAUAAUUUUGGCCCUAUGCUACCCCAACUCGCAUAAAAGGGGUUCUAAACUUAUUUUGAAGGAUGGAGAACAUUUUUGGGAGAAAUUUUUGGCGAUGAGAGAGCACAGAACUGUCGUGGAACCCGAGUUUCAUCUUUUUUCUACCAAACUUUGUAAUUUUUAUGUUUCUUUAUAUGAUUUGUUGUUCGAUUACCAUGUCUAUGUGGGGCUAAAACUUCACGUUCUAGGGUUGUGGUUCUUUCAUGACUAUGGUUAUUCGGAUAUUGAUUUUGCUUUCUUGAUUUAUCGUAUUGGUUUAUUUAUUCAAUCUCGCGUUUGAUUAUUUAAUUAUUUGAUCACCAAUUAAAUACUAUCUACGGAUCUAGAAUUGAACUCGAAAGUGGGAAUUCUAAAUUGCAUAUAGGAUUGAAUAGAGCAAUUUAUUGAACCUAAGCAUCGGGAAAUGGAUUGCGGUUAGGAUAGACAUAUACCUAAUUGCCUUGCUUGGUUGAUAAACAGGAAUUAUAAAUGCGCUCUUGUUAGUUCGAAUUUCAUAGACAUAUAGACGUUAGGUUAGCUUGAAUAGGAGAGUAAGGACUCGAUAGAUUCUUAUGAGCAACAUUAACCUUGUCAACCAAUAAACUAGAUAAAUUAGUUAGUCAAUUCAAUCGAAGAAUACAAUAGGAAUGUUAGAUAGCCCAUAACCUAGGUCGUUUUCAUUACAUUUAUAACAUAAAAAUCUGCUCUUUCUUUGUUUGAAUUUAUCAUAACCCUAGAUCGUUUUGAUUUCAUUGAUAACAUAAAAAUCUGCUCUUCUUAUUUAUUUUCUUUUUAGUUUAAUUACUUUAGCAUCAUUGCUUUUGGGUUUUAAUUCUUGUUUAUAUAAUUAGGAUAGUCUAAUUUAGUUAAUAGUUAAUCACAUGUCCUUGUGAGUUCGACAUCCGAUUUUUAGUCAGUUAAUUACUUGACGAUCGCGUAUAGUUGCGUGAGUGUGUUUGGCCGCAACAGUGACUAGGAGUGAAAAAAGUAGAGAAAGAAGAAGCUAACCCUUGUUUGUGAUUGUGAUGGUUUGAUUCUUAAAUUCAUUCUUUAAAAGUAGAGGUAAACAAAUUUACACUUUAAGAUAAUGAUUGUGGUCCAAUUUUUAGAACAACAUUCAAUAUGCUACAAUGUGCAGAAACUAAGCCUGUCAAACGGGCCUACCGGGCCGAUUCCGGGUCAAAAAAAUUUGACCCGUCCAAUUUCCGGUCCGGGCUCAACAGUACCGGUUUGCUACCGGACUGGUUAGUUCUGGGUUAGGAUUGACCCG
Molecule: long non-coding RNA, 2092 nt
Filed under: Nicotiana benthamiana
Lineage: Eukaryota; Viridiplantae; Streptophyta; Magnoliopsida; Solanales; Solanaceae
Description: long non-coding RNA (NBEN_LNC028662)
Source: RNAcentral